UACGUAGGGUGCGAGCGUUGUCCGGAAUCACUGGGCGUAAAGGGCGCGUAGGUGGCGACCCAAGUCUGUGGUGAAAGCUCGCCGCUUAACGGCGAGUCGGCCACGGAUACUGGGUGGCUCGAGCACUGUAGGGGCAGAUGGAAUUCCGGGUGUAGCGGUGGAAUGCGUAGAGAUCCGGAAGAACACCGGUGGCGAAGGCGGUCUGCUGGGCAGUAGCUGACACUGAGGCGCGACAGCGUGGGGAGCAAACAGG
Molecule: ribosomal RNA, 253 nt
Filed under: uncultured bacterium
Lineage: Bacteria
Description: partial 16S ribosomal RNA
Rfam family: Bacterial small subunit ribosomal RNA
Source: RNAcentral